ACACCACAACGGGUGGAGCCUGCGGUUUAAUUGGAUUCAACGCCGGAAAGCUUACCGGGGGCGACAGCAAUAUGAAGGUCAGGCUGAAGACCUUACCGGAUUCGCUGAGAGGUGGUGCAUGGCCGUCGUCAGUUCGUACUGUGAAGCAUCCUGUUAAGUCAGGCAACGAGCGAGACCCACGCCCACAGUUGCCAGCGAUCCCUCCGGGGAGGCGGGUACUCUGUGGGGACCGCCGCUGCUAAGGCGGAGGAAGGAGUGGGCAACGGUAGGUCAGUAUGCCCCGAAUCCCCCGGGCUACACGCGGGCUACAAUGGUCGGUACAAUGGGUAUCGACCCCGAAAGGGGUAGGCAAUCCCCUAAAACCGAUCGUAGUUCGGAUUGAGGGCUGAAACUCGCCCUCAUGAAGCUGGAAUCCGUAGUAAUCGCGUUUCAACAGAACGCGGUGAAUACGUCCCUGCUCCUUGCACACACCGCCCGUCAAACCACCCGAGUAGGGUCCGGAUGAGGGUGUAUCCUCUUGAUACAUUCGAAUCCGGGCUUUGCAAGGGGGGUU
RNAcentral lists this ribosomal RNA (553 nucleotides) under uncultured archaeon WSB-21. RNAcentral's name for it is "bacterial SSU rRNA". It matches the Rfam family "Archaeal small subunit ribosomal RNA", at positions 876 to 1429 of the family's 1478-position model. The record is from RNAcentral.